Molecule: transfer RNA, 89 nt
Filed under: Neotoma lepida (desert woodrat)
Lineage: Eukaryota; Metazoa; Chordata; Mammalia; Rodentia; Cricetidae
Rfam family: tRNA
About the family: Transfer RNA (tRNA) molecules are approximately 80 nucleotides in length. Their secondary structure includes four short double-helical elements and three loops (D, anti-codon, and T loops). Further hydrogen bonds mediate the characteristic L-shaped molecular structure. tRNAs have two regions of fundamental functional importance: the anti-codon, which is responsible for specific mRNA codon recognition, and the 3' end, to which the tRNAs corresponding amino acid is attached (by aminoacyl-tRNA synthetases). tRNAs cope with the degeneracy of the genetic code in two manners: having more than one tRNA (with a specific anti-codon) for a particular amino acid; and 'wobble' base-pairing, i.e. permitting non-standard base-pairing at the 3rd anti-codon position.
Source: Rfam by way of RNAcentral
CCUUCGAUAGCUCAGUUGGUAGAGCGGAGGACUGUAGAAAGAUCUCAUUGGACAUCCUUAGGUCGCUGGUUCGAAUCCGGCUCGAAGGA